AAACUAGGAUUAGAUACCCUUUUAUUAUGGUCUGUAGGUAUUAAGGAUUGGUUUUUAAACCUAAGGUUUCUGGCGGUUUUCUUUCUUUUCAGAGGGGCUUGGUUUUUAAUCGAUAGUCCGCGUUUAGUUUUUCUUUCUUUAUUAUUUUAUAUAUCUCCGUUUGAAGAUGAUUGUUAGCUUUUCCUUCUUUUUAAAUUUUUAUUAAAUUCAGGUCAAGGUUUAAUUUAUAAGUGAGAGAAAGUUAGCCAUGUAUUUAUGUCUUUUUUGAAGUGUAGAUUUUUAGGAUUUGUUGGUAAAUUUAAGUUAAUUUUUUAUUUUGAAUUAGUAAAAGAGAAUGUACAUAUCGCCCGUCACUCUUGUGAAAGAUAAGUCGUAACAUAGUA
Molecule: ribosomal RNA, 383 nt
Filed under: Unionicola formosa
Lineage: Eukaryota; Metazoa; Arthropoda; Arachnida; Trombidiformes; Unionicolidae
Description: partial 12S ribosomal RNA
Source: RNAcentral